AUGGAGGGUGUGGCGCAGGCCCUUGUGGGCAACCUUGGGCAGCUAGUGGGGUCGGAGUUCCAGAAGCUCCGCGGCGUCGGCAGCGAGGUCGCCCAGCUGAGGGACGAGCUGGCCACCAUGAACGCCAUCCUCCGCAUGCAGUCCGAGGCGGACGACAGCGCCGUGGACCAUUUCGUCCGGGAGUGGAUGAAGCAGGUCCGCGAGCUCGCCUACGACGCCGAGGACUGCGUCGACCUCUACGUCUUCCGCAUCCGCUGCCUCCUCAGCGACGCCUUCCUCGCCCGCCUAAGGCGCGUGCUCACCACGCUCUCCCUCCGCCGCCGCCUCGGCAGCGACGUCCAGGCCCUCCGCGCCCGCGCCGUCAUCAUCAGCGAGCGCCACGCGCGCUAUGGCGUCAGCCGCGAGGCGCUGCGCCGCUCCCCGCACCUGGCCCCCGUCUCCACGGGGUCGGCUGCCUCCGCGCGUGCGCUGCGCGCCGCCAACCACCCCGACCAGUUCGUCGGCAUGACGGACCAGGCUAGCACCCUGGCCAAGAGGGUGAAGGGCGCCGUGGACAGCAACGACGACCUCCAAGAAGGCGGCGAGCGGAAGCUCAGGGUGUUCUCCAUCGUCGGGUUCGCCGGGCUCGGGAAGACCACGCUGGCCAUGGAGGUGUGCCGGCGGCUGGACACACAGUUCCAACGCCAGGCGCAGGUGUCCGUGUCCCAGGCGUUCGACGGCAGGAACGACGUCGGGGGCCUCCUCAAGCGCGUGCUGCAGCAGAUCGUCAAGCCCAAGGCGGGAAAUGAGAAAGGCAUCAAGGAAGAAGACUCCGCGGGUGACAUCGACCACAUGGAUUUGGACACGCUCGCAAAAACGCUCAAGGAGCUUCUCAAGGACAAGAGGUACCUCAUUGUGAUUGAUGAUGUAUGGACAAUAGCAGCAUGGGAUGCUAUCCGAUCCGUGCUGCCAGACAACAACCUCGACAGCAGAAUCAUGGUGACCACUCGCAUAGAGGCCGUGGCCGUAGCAUGCAGUGAUGCUAGUGAAAUUUGUGGAGACAACAUCUAUCACAUCGAGCCCCUCAAUUCAGAAGACUCCAAGAAGCUGUUCCUCAGCAGAGCAUUUGGCUCCAAGGAUGCCACUUGUCCCACAGAGCUGGAAGAUGAAAUGAACAAAAUUCUCAAGAAAUGUGGUGGGCUGCCAUUGGCCAUUGUCAGCAUUGGCAGCCUCUUGGCCAGCUAUAAAUCAGCGGAGCACAAGGAUAUGUGGGACAGAGUUUGCAAAUCAAUUAGUUAUCAUAUGGAUACCAAUCCCACCCUUGACGGGAUGAGGCAGAUACUCACACUCAGCUACGACCACCUGCCCUAUCACCUCAAGGGCUGCAUGAUGUAUCUUAGUAUUUUCCCGGAGGAUUUUCUCAUCAACAAGGAUCGGCUAGUAUACAGAUGGAUCGCCGAAGGAUUGGUUGAGGAGAAGCGGGGGAUGACCCUGUUGGAGGUUGCAGAAGCCUAUUAUGAAGAGCUGGUGAGCAGGGGCAUGAUUAAUCCCACUGGCGAAAUAAUCAGCCAUGUCUAUGGAGCUGUGGAGACAUGUCGGGUGCAUGACUUGAUGCUGGAGGUCAUGGUGUCCAAAUCCUUGGAGGCCAACUUUGUCAGCCUGAUAGGUGGGCAGUAUGAUGGGAUGUCCUAUGACACAAUACGCCGCCUCUCCGUCCAUGGUGGUGGGCAGAGGCCCAAGGAAUCUCCAUCCAACAAGGACUCUCCAUCCAAGAAAACCAAGGAAUCUACAUCCAAGAAAAUGGUUAAGAAGAAUGACUUAAAAGACAUUAAUGUGCAGCAUGUCCGAUCACUGAGUAUGUUUCAGCUCGAAGGGAACAAGCUGCUUGAUCGUCUGGGUGAGUUCACUCUGCUGAGAGUACUAGACCUGGAAGACUGCAAGGGUGUAGAAAACAAGCAUAUGAGCCACAUCUGUCGGAUGUACCUUCUAAGGUAUUUGUCCCUGAGAGGUACAGAUAUCAGUGUGCUGCCUACAAAAGUCUGUGAUCUGGAGCAUUUGCAGACACUUGAUGUACGUGCCACCGGCCUUGCUAGACUUCCAGAAACCCUGAUAAAACUAGAGAAACUUGAGCGCUUGUUCUUCUCCCAGAAGGAUGUUUGGUCUACCAUGUGGAAGCCACCUCAGGGUCUUUGGAAAAUGAAGGCGCUGCGGGAGGUGGGCUGGGUGUUGCUAGAAGAUGAUGCUGUUGAGGUUGCCCAAGAGGUAGGUGAACUAGAAAAUUUGCAAAGGUUAAGUAUCUACGUCGAUUGUGAGCGGCCCAAUGGUCCCAAGGUUCUUGAAGAACUUGCCCUGUCCCUGAGCAAGACGCACUCUCUCCGGUCGCUCGACAUGGGCACCAUGAGUUAUGAGGCCAAUGCGUUGAACUUUCUCCUUGAGCUCCCCUCGCCGCCACGCCUCCUCCGAUUCCUCAGGAUCGCUGGUGGCAUUGACAAAUUGCCCAAUUGGGUCGAAUCGCUCACAUAUCUUGUUGAGUUUCACAUGUCAUGGGCACACUUUAUCGAUGACCAACUGUUUGGGGUUCUGUGUAAGCUGCCCAACCUGAAGAGCAUCUGGAUGCAGCGGAACUGCUACACUGGCCGAGAGUUGGUUGCACGCACUGCGCACAACUUUCCGGCGCUCAGGAAUCUCAGAGGGACCUGUGAUCAGGAAAUGCCCAGAGUCUACAAAUUCGAGGAAGGAUCCAUGACAAAGCUCGAGAAACUUUCACUGAAUUUCGACAACUGGAGUGAGAAGAGCAUUGUCGGCAUUGAGCACUUGACGAGCCUUAAAGAGGUGCAGCUCGCAGGUAAGAGAGGGAACCCUGCGCUGGACCAGACUCUGGAGCUGCUAAAGGCGGAGAGCGGGAGGCACCCCAAUCAUUUCACAGUUGGAGUGAAGUACGACUGA
Molecule: ribosomal RNA, 2925 nt
Filed under: Triticum aestivum (bread wheat)
Lineage: Eukaryota; Viridiplantae; Streptophyta; Magnoliopsida; Poales; Poaceae
Description: partial small subunit ribosomal RNA
Source: RNAcentral